Molecule: long non-coding RNA, 210 nt
Filed under: Capsella rubella
Lineage: Eukaryota; Viridiplantae; Streptophyta; Magnoliopsida; Brassicales; Brassicaceae
Description: long non-coding RNA (CRUB_LNC001590)
Source: RNAcentral
GUCGAGCACAUGGAGACUUUCCUCGACCUAUAUUUAAGAUUCAUCUACAAGUUGGCUAUUCAAAAGUGAUUCAUCGAGUCAUAAUUAAAUACAAAGUAGCCAAAUCAACACACCAACACGACAAACCGUAGGGGUCAUGCCGAACCCUAGUUUAUCAUCAACAUGAAGAAUUUACUCGACCUAUAUUGAAUAUUCAUCAGCAAGUCGACC